Long non-coding RNA from Apodemus sylvaticus (European woodmouse), 2582 nucleotides. RefSeq lists it as uncharacterized. The record is from RefSeq and is a predicted model, not a curated record. The transcript is spliced from 3 exons. Lineage: Eukaryota; Metazoa; Chordata; Mammalia; Rodentia; Muridae.
CCUGCUACGAGCUAAUGGAGGCUCCACUUCUUGGUCUCUUAUCAAAGGCCUUCCCUCUAUGCACAACACUUUCCUGGGUAAACAUUCAGGGGAGCAUUCUGAUACUGAGACAGCAAAGCCUGCACGAAGGCCCAGCAAUAGAAUGAGUCCGACUUACCUGUGAAAUGUGUACCUUCAUCGCGCUGCAGGGCAAGCAAACCCUACCCAAGUGUGUCGUUCCCACUGACUGAGGUUCUGGAAGCCAGAAGCUCUGCUUCACUGUCCCCUGUGUCUACCACUGGGGAGAGGCCAUAGAUGCUGCACGGGAGAGUGACUCAGGCCACCAGGUGACUUGGCUGUGGUUUCCUGUGACUCAAGCCUGCUAGACAGCUCCGGACAGAGGUGAACAGGAAACUAGGCCAGAGAAAAGCUAGAGGAAUGGAGAACAGCGGACACACAGACGUGCAGGAGGCUUCCAGCCCUGGCACUCGGGCCAAAAGGGCAGACAAACCCUGAACCCCAGACACUUGGGCCCUGAGUGGGCACAGCUAUUCUUACAUCAGCCUGAAGUCGUGGGUGAGGAAGAUGGGAGGACUGGCCACAUCCUUCCCAGAGCAGAGCUGGCCUAACAGAGGACGCAGGGAGAGUGGGUGAGAGGACGAAAUCCCGCUGUUUUCUUUCAGUAUUGGGGGAAAAAAGCCAAAACAAACCACGAUUGUUCUGAUGCCACGGCUCUUCCCCUCUGCCUUUUGCAUCCUUUCCUCCUUACCAACGUCCGUCUUACCAACGCUCAUCCGUGUCAGUGACAGACGGUCACCAGUGCAGUCCACCUCAGGACCCGAGGAACAGAAAUGGAAACGUCUGCUGCAUUUCCUUGAGAGCACAAUGACAUGAAGUGUCCAAGGGAAGAGCCUGCCACAACCCUAGACCUCCUCGUAGCCCAAAGCAGCUGCCUGGUCUCCACGGUCUCAGGACAACCACCAUGUCAGACAAGCAGGAGGGACUGGGCAGAGGAGUCGGUUGCUAAGGUGCUUGCUGUGAGCAUGAGGUCCAGGCAUCCUCCAGGCUUGCCUAAGAAGCUGUGUGUGUGUGGCAACACAUGACUUAACCCCCCCACCCCCCCAGGGGCCUGAGCUUUGCAGUAGGCGGUGGUCUGUCAUGUCCCUCAGGCUAGGCGAGACAGUGCAAUCUGGCUAACUCAGAAUCUCUGGCCCCACUGAGAUUCCACAGUUAAUGGAGCCUCAGUGGGGCCAUAUUAGGGAACCCUGCUGCAAGGGUGCACUGCUCUUCCCUAGAACCAGUCUGGCAUCUCUAACUUCCUGCCUCAGUGGAUUCUCAGGCCUGGAGAGGAGACUCUAUAAUUAGGCUAUUCUACUGUGGGAUUCCUCCCAACCUCAUGCCUUGCUGUUUUCCUCCAAUUGUCCGCGCCUUCCUUUCCCACCCACAAUGUGAAACUGGCUGUUGUGUGCACAGGAAAUGUGUUAAAUGAGCUGGUGUUUGUGUUACUGCCCGGUUGCAGGAGCUUCACUCCCUGGGGAAUGUCUGAAAUGUGGUCAGGCAGCCCGGCGCACAUUCCCACCAGCACUGUAGCAGAAGAUUGUCAUUAGCAGAAGGUCCUGUGAGAGCCAUGAUGCCUGUGGUCCCGUGAAGCGCAUGUGUGGGCACAGGCUUCAAGAUACAGGUCCGGUCUGCAGCCAGCACUGCUACUGCUGGAAGCUGAACCCCAGCUGUGUGAGUGCCGGCCCCAAACACCAGCAUCCACACCACAAAACUUACAGGCGUUGAAUGAAAAUAAGAAAAGAUAAUUUGAAUUGUGGAGGGUAAUGGGAGGUUCCCUGUAGGAGCCUGGAAAGUGAACUCCUUCAGAGUCUCCAGCACAUACGAAUCAGCUGAAACAGUGGAUGGAGCACGGGCCAAAUCCAGGUCACCACUUGUUUAAAUAAAGUUUUAUUGAGACACAGCCACACCUCCUUGUUUACAUGUCUUCUGUAACUUCUUGGUCUAGCAGGACUCUGUAGCUACAACAGACUGCAUGGCCCACAAGCCAAAAUAUCUCCUAUCUGACUCUGUAGAAAAGGUUUGAUGACUCUUGAUCUGACACAAACCCUUACACUCGUGUUUAUGUGAGGUCCGUGGUGGGUCACGAAGCUGAGCCACACCCGGUGAAUGGCUUCAGAGUGUCCAAUAAACAAACAUUAAUUCAAAAAUCUAAACAUAGUGCAAAUCCACAGUGCACCGGGUCUUCAUUCUGUGUUGCUCCCCAGCUCAAGGCUGAGGUCACAGCAGCCUUGAACACGUGACACAAACAGGUGACAUGAACAUGUGACAUGGGGAGUCCUUACCAUGCACACCACAUGACACCUAGAAGAUUGCGCGUUGUAAACUAAGGGGUGUACACUUACACACAACAGUUCUCUGCCCUCACAGAAGGGUUUGCAUAUGGAGAACAAGGACUUUCAGCAUCUUCAGUCAUUCCUAAGCACAUAAGCACAUCUUUAGAUUGUAUUGUAUUAGACAAGCAGGCCCUCUGUCUCAUGAAUACGCAAGUUUGCUUUCCUCUCCAACACGUUAGAUUAAAUGUAUGACAAGUUGCUUUAAAAUAA